RNAcentral lists this transfer RNA (73 nucleotides) under Telmatocola sphagniphila. It matches the Rfam family "tRNA". From Rfam's summary of the family: Transfer RNA (tRNA) molecules are approximately 80 nucleotides in length. Their secondary structure includes four short double-helical elements and three loops (D, anti-codon, and T loops). Further hydrogen bonds mediate the characteristic L-shaped molecular structure. tRNAs have two regions of fundamental functional importance: the anti-codon, which is responsible for specific mRNA codon recognition, and the 3' end, to which the tRNAs corresponding amino acid is attached (by aminoacyl-tRNA synthetases). tRNAs cope with the degeneracy of the genetic code in two manners: having more than one tRNA (with a specific anti-codon) for a particular amino acid; and 'wobble' base-pairing, i.e. permitting non-standard base-pairing at the 3rd anti-codon position. Lineage: Bacteria; Pseudomonadati; Planctomycetota; Planctomycetia; Gemmatales; Gemmataceae. The record is from Rfam by way of RNAcentral.
GCGUCCAUGAUGUAGCCCGGUAGCCUGCUGCCUUGCCAUGGCGGAAGCGGGGGUUCAAAUCCCCCUGGACGCU